AUUCUUCUAGUAUAAUAUAUUACAAUUGACUUCCACUCAAUUAAUCUUGCUCCAAGGAAGAAUA
Molecule: transfer RNA, 64 nt
Filed under: Chamaeleo calcaricarens (Awash chameleon)
Lineage: Eukaryota; Metazoa; Chordata; Lepidosauria; Squamata; Chamaeleonidae
Description: tRNA-Gly
Source: RNAcentral